RNAcentral lists this ribosomal RNA (407 nucleotides) under uncultured bacterium. Its description in RNAcentral is "partial 16S ribosomal RNA". It matches the Rfam family "Bacterial small subunit ribosomal RNA", at positions 30 to 526 of the family's 1533-position model. The record is from RNAcentral.
AUUGAACGCUGGCGGCAGGCCUAACACAUGCAAGUCGAGCGGAGCGGCGGACGGGUGAGUAAUGCCUAGGAAUCUGCCUGGUAGUGGGGGAUAACGUCCGGAAACGGGCGCUAAUACCGCAUACUAUCAGAUGAGCCAAGGUCGGAUUAGCUAGUUGGUGGGGUAAAGGCCUACCAAGGCGACGAUCCGUAACUGGUCUGAGAGAAUGAACAGUCCGACUGGAACUUAGACAAGGUCCCGACUCCUACGGGAAGCAGGUGUGGGGAAUAUUGCACAAUGGGCAAGAGCCUUAUCCAGCCGUGCCGCGUGUGUGGAGAAGGUCUUCGGAUUGUAAAGCUCUUUGAGUUAGGAGGCGUUACCAACAGAAUAAGCACCGGCUAACUUCGUGCCAGCAGCCGCGGUAAUUC